UUGUCUGCCAAUUACUGUUGGUGUUUGCCCAACUCAUUAUUACUCUCCUCUUCUCCUAUUUCUUUGGCUAUAAAAGGUAGCCAUGACAUGAGGGAAAUAUACACCAAUUUGAGAGAACUCUCAUCCGAGAGUAGAGAGGAAAGAAAAGGGUGGGUGAAGAAAUCUCAUCCGGGGAUGAUGGAUGAAAGUAAUCCCAUCCAGGAGAGGAUGGAAGAGAGUUAGAAAAUAGAGAGAGAAAGAUAGUUCAAAUAAAA
RNAcentral lists this long non-coding RNA (254 nucleotides) under Panax ginseng (ginseng). RNAcentral describes it as "long non-coding RNA (PGIN_LNC010514)". The record is from RNAcentral. Lineage: Eukaryota; Viridiplantae; Streptophyta; Magnoliopsida; Apiales; Araliaceae.